This 980-nucleotide ribosomal RNA is filed under the name Candidatus Omnitrophota bacterium. RNAcentral describes it as "partial 23S ribosomal RNA". It matches the Rfam family "Bacterial large subunit ribosomal RNA", at positions 2536 to 2925 of the family's 2925-position model. The record is from RNAcentral. Lineage: Bacteria; Pseudomonadati; Candidatus Omnitrophota.
CUCAUCCCAUCCUGGGGGUGGAGAAGCUCCCAAGGGUCCGGCUGUUCGCCGGUUAAAAGGGCACGCGAGCUGGGUUCAGAACGUCGUGAGACAGUCAAGUUUGGGCUGUCUAUAAAUCUGGCUAUAUGCUGGAAAGUUUGAGUAUCCCAUAUUACUACUUGACUAUUUAGUCUCUAUAUGCUAUUCUAUAGAGAUUUUUUCCUGAAAAAGGGGAUCCGCUAAUGCGGAAAAUAGUCAAGAGUAAAAAUAUAUGGGUGCAGACAACCAGCAGGGAAGGCUAGAAAGGAAGUGGGGCGAUUACAUUGCUGGUUUUGUGGAUGGUGAGGGAAGUUUUUCCAUCACUAUUCAGAGAAGUAAGAAUGUAAGAUUAGGAAAUUUAGAAAAGUGGUAAAAAUGAUGGAGAGAAAACUUCAUCUUACCAUCUAGGGAUCAAAAGAGAUUUUAAAAAUCACCCACUCCAUGAAUAGCAGUGGUAGAUACAGGAGAGUACCACUUAAGGAGCUAAUUUCCUUUCUAGAACCCUCAGAGACUGUACGCCAGACCCCGACGUAACGUCGGGGAAGAUACAGUCCGACCUCACCGGCGACGGUGAGAUUCCGAUGGAAACAUCGGAACGCUCCGACGGAAAGUCGGAGUCAGUAUCCCGACGGAAUGUCGGGAGAAAGUAACAGAGUGUCGGUCUCUAUCCACCGUGGGCGCUGGAUUCCUGAAGGGGGGCUGUUCCUAGUACGAGAGGACCGGAACAGGCGCACCUCCGGUGUACCAGCUAUUCCGCCAGGAGUAAAGGCUGGGUAGCCGUGUGCGUUAGAGAUAAGCGCUGAAGGCAUCUAAGUGCGAAGCUCGCCCUAAGAUUAGGAAUCCCUCUCCGACGUUACGUCGGAGUGUAGGGCACUCAGAGACUAUGAGGUUGAUAGGGUGCAGGUGUAAGUCCGGUAACGGAUUUAGCCAAGCACUACUAAUUGCCCAAUCGACUUGAUAUC